RNAcentral lists this ribosomal RNA (463 nucleotides) under uncultured bacterium. Its description in RNAcentral is "bacterial SSU rRNA". It matches the Rfam family "Bacterial small subunit ribosomal RNA", at positions 29 to 526 of the family's 1533-position model. The record is from RNAcentral.
AACGAACGCUGGCGGCACGCCUAACACAUGCAAGUCGAACGAGAGCAUAUCUUCGGGUAUGUUUCUAGUGGCGGACGGGUGAGUAACGCGUGGGUAUCUGCCUCAAGGUGGGGGAUAACUGUUGGAAACGACAGCUAAUACCGCAUGAUCCCGUAAGGGCAAAGAUUUAUCGCCUUGAGCGGAGCCCGCGUCGGAUUAGGUAGUUGGUAGGGUAACGGCCUACCAAGCCGAUGCUCCGGAACUGGUCUGAGAGGAUGACCAGUCACACUGGGACUGCGACACGGCCCAGACUCCUACGGGAGGCAGCAGUGGGGAAUCUUGGACAAUGGGGGCAACCCUGAUCCAGCGAUGCCGCGUGAGUGAAGAAGGCCUUAGGGUUGUAACGCUCUUUCCUCCGUGAAGAUAAUGACGUUAGCGGGAGAAGAAGCCCCGGCUAACUCCGUGCCAGCCGCCGCCGUAACAC